Molecule: small RNA, 895 nt
Filed under: Pongo abelii (Sumatran orangutan)
Lineage: Eukaryota; Metazoa; Chordata; Mammalia; Primates; Hominidae
Description: retained intron
Source: RNAcentral
GCUCAGAGGGGCCAUGAUUCGGAGGGUUCUGCCGCACGGCUUGGGCCGGGGCCUCUUGACCCGGAAGCCAGGCACGCGCAGAGGAGGCUUUUCUCUGGGUAAAGUUGAGGACGACAGAGGGCAUUGUGGUUCUGGGUUGUCCCCAACCUCCGACUGUGUGUCCUUCAGGACCCGAAACCAUGGCCCACACUGGCAGGACAGCGGGUCGGCUUGGGGAAGGGGUAUUCACAGGCCUCCACUGGGCUCUCAGUAGGUGGGAUUUGUCAGCAGUUCUCAUUGCCUGAGAACAUCCAGCUCUCCCUCUUUUCAGCCAGCUUUCUACGGAAUAUCAAUGAGCUUCUCUCUGCAUACAGGAGUACCUGGCCGUAGUCGAUGCCCCUCCCUUGGACCUCCGGUUCAGCCCCUCAGGCUACCUCUUGCUGGCUUCAGAAAAGGAUGCUGCAGCCAUGGAGAGCAACGUGAAAGUGCAGAGGCAGGUGGGAGCCAAAAUUUCUCUGAUGUCUCCUGAUCAGCUUCGGAACAAGUUUCCCUGGAUAAACACAGAGGGAGUGGCUUUGGCAUCUUACGGUGAGGCUUGCUUGCAGAGGGGACAGCUUUUUUCCUGAAGAUGGAGACUAAGGGGUGCUACACGUUGGGAGUCUCGGUACCCCACAGCCAAGCUGAAGGAGGAACACUUCCCUCCUGUGUCACAGGAACGGCCCUGGGCCAUGCUAGUUCUCUGGCCUUCAGCAGGCUUUGUCUGUGUGGUUGAGUUGGUCAAGAUGACCUUCCCCAGCUUACAAGCCCUAGAGAGGGCUUGGGGGACACAGGAAAUACAAUCCAAGAGCAGAAGUCCUCAUCCCUCUUUGUGAGUUCUCUUUUUCUUAUCACAGGGAUGGAGGACGAAGGUUGGUUU